This 977-nucleotide ribosomal RNA is filed under the name Escherichia coli. Its description in RNAcentral is "partial 23S ribosomal RNA". It matches the Rfam family "Bacterial large subunit ribosomal RNA", at positions 174 to 1191 of the family's 2925-position model. The record is from RNAcentral. Lineage: Bacteria; Pseudomonadati; Pseudomonadota; Gammaproteobacteria; Enterobacterales; Enterobacteriaceae.
AUGAGGCGAACCGGGGGAACUGAAACAUCUAAGUACCCCGAGGAAAAGAAAUCAACCGAGAUUCCCCCAGUAGCGGCGAGCGAACGGGGAGCAGCCCAGAGCCUGAAUCAGUGUGUGUGUUAGUGGAAGCGUCUGGAAAGGCGCGCGAUACAGGGUGACAGCCCCGUACACAAAAAUGCACAUGCUGUGAGCUCGAUGAGUAGGGCGGGACACGUGGUAUCCUGUCUGAAUAUGGGGGGACCAUCCUCCAAGGCUAAAUACUCCUGACUGACCGAUAGUGAACCAGUACCGUGAGGGAAAGGCGAAAAGAACCCCGGCGAGGGGAGUGAAAAAGAACCUGAAACCGUGUACGUACAAGCAGUGGGAGCCUCUUUUAUGGGGUGACUGCGUACCUUUUGUAUAAUGGGUCAGCGACUUAUAUUCUGUAGCAAGGUUAACCGAAUAGGGGAGCCGAAGGGAAACCGAGUCUUAACUGGGCGUUAAGUUGCAGGGUAUAGACCCGAAACCCGGUGAUCUAGCCAUGGGCAGGUUGAAGGUUGGGUAACACUAACUGGAGGACCGAACCGACUAAUGUUGAAAAAUUAGCGGAUGACUUGUGGCUGGGGGUGAAAGGCCAAUCAAACCGGGAGAUAGCUGGUUCUCCCCGAAAGCUAUUUAGGUAGCGCCUCGUGAAUUCAUCUCCGGGGGUAGAGCACUGUUUCGGCAAGGGGGUCAUCCCGACUUACCAACCCGAUGCAAACUGCGAAUACCGGAGAAUGUUAUCACGGGAGACACACGGCGGGUGCUAACGUCCGUCGUGAAGAGGGAAACAACCCAGACCGCCAGCUAAGGUCCCAAAGUCAUGGUUAAGUGGGAAACGAUGUGGGAAGGCCCAGACAGCCAGGAUGUUGGCUUAGAAGCAGCCAUCAUUUAAAGAAAGCGUAAUAGCUCACUGGUCGAGUCGGCCUGCGCGGAAGAUGUAACGGGGCUAAACCAUG